GACGAACGCUGGCGGCGCGCCUAAUGCAUGCAAGUCGAGCGACGCAUGCUCGGUGGGUAACCACUGGGUAUGACGGAGCGGCGAACGGGUGAGUAACACGUGAGUAACCUGCCCCGAAGAUCGGGAUAGCCCGGGAAACCCGGAUUAAUACCGAAUACCCUCUCUGGAUCGCAUGGUCCGGUGAGGAAAUGCCUUUGUGCUUCGGGAUGGACUCGCGGCCUAUCAGCUAGUUGGUGAGGUAACGGCUCACCAAGGCAACGACGGGUAGCUGGUUUGAGUGGACGAUCAGCCACACUGGGACUGAGACACGGCCCAGACUCCUACGGGAGGCAGCAGUGGGGAAUAUUGCGCAAUGGGCGAAAGCCUGACGCAGCGACGCCGCGUGGAGGAUGAAGGCCUUCGGGUUGUAAACCUCUUUCAGUGGGGAAGAAGCGCAAGUGACGGUACCCACACAAGAAGGCCCCGGCCAACUACGUG
RNAcentral lists this ribosomal RNA (477 nucleotides) under uncultured bacterium. RNAcentral's name for it is "bacterial SSU rRNA". It matches the Rfam family "Bacterial small subunit ribosomal RNA", at positions 28 to 507 of the family's 1533-position model. The record is from RNAcentral.